AUCCAACUGACGAGUCCUAAAUAGGACAAAACGCGCUUUCUGGAU
Schistosoma mansoni is the source of this 45-nucleotide non-coding RNA. The record is from Rfam. NCBI's taxonomy places the organism in Eukaryota, Metazoa, Platyhelminthes, Trematoda, Strigeidida, Schistosomatidae.